AGCGAACGCUGGCGGCAGGCUUAACACAUGCAAGUCGAGCGGACCUUUCGGGGUCAGCGGCGGACGGGUGAGUAACGCGUGGGAACGUGCCUUCCGGUUCGGAAUAACCCUGGGAAACUAGGGCUAAUACCGGAUACGCCCUUAUGGGGAAAGGUUUACUGCCGGAAGAUCGGCCCGCGUCUGAUUAGCUAGUUGGUGGGGUAACGGCCUACCAAGGCGACGAUCAGUAGCUGGUCUGAGAGGAUGAUCAGCCACACUGGGACUGAGACACGGCCCAGACUCCUACGGGAGGCAGCAGUGGGGAAUAUUGGACAAUGGGCGCAAGCCUGAUCCAGCCAUGACGCGUGAGUGAUGAAGGCCUUAGGGUUGUAAAGCUCUUUUAUCCGGGACGAUAAUGACGGUACCGGAGGAAUAAGCCCCGGCUAACUUCGUG
This 433-nucleotide ribosomal RNA is filed under the name uncultured bacterium. RNAcentral describes it as "partial 16S ribosomal RNA". It matches the Rfam family "Bacterial small subunit ribosomal RNA", at positions 29 to 507 of the family's 1533-position model. The record is from RNAcentral.